UUAUAUCUCGUAUAACGACUCGUAUUUAUCCGCAUCUGAGUAUUCAUCGCCAAUACUUUUUCACCCAGUUUCACCCCCUUCGUCCACCCUCAUCUCCGACGACAUAAGUUCUCCAUCGGCGCCUCCCCUCCGACGGCAGCAUCCCUCCCUCGUCAGCUUCCCAUAGACGCAUGAUAUCCUUAACCAUCCCAUCCCUCCCUCUCUAUCCCAUCGUCUAAUUUUAUUUGCUUCCACCAUCGUGGGUCGCUACCAUGGGUAAAUAGAGUAGAGUAGAUAGUGAAGAUGCUAACUUUAACGGACAUUAGUAGGUUGAGGUUACGGUAAUAAUUGAGUUUGCACUUGGUAUUCUUCUACUGAAUUCUACUAGAUUUCUUAGUGGCGGUUUUCACUAAGAUACUCAAGCCCUAAUUCCUUCUUUUGAAACACUGAUAAUUAUCAAUUGGCACAGGUUCAAACAUGAAGAUGUAAAAGUAGAGGCAUGUGAAAGCCAUCAAAAAAACAAAGAAAAAUUCUUCAAGAAUUCUUAUAGAUUCUUAAAGAAUGUAGUAUAUAUUAUAAAUGUUUGUAUAUUCUUAAUGAAUAAUGACAAAUUCUUAAAGAAUGUAGUAUAGAAGGUAGUGUAUAUUCUUUGAAAUGUGGUAUAUAAUCUAGUUUUAUGUUAUAAAAAUGGUUGUAUUAUGUUGUAAGAAUGGUUUGUAUUUUUCAAAUAUAUAUUUCUUGAUUA
Molecule: long non-coding RNA, 724 nt
Organism: Lactuca sativa (garden lettuce)
Lineage: Eukaryota; Viridiplantae; Streptophyta; Magnoliopsida; Asterales; Asteraceae
Source: RefSeq, a predicted model, not a curated record